This 159-nucleotide unclassified non-coding RNA is filed under the name Natronorubrum thiooxidans. Its description in RNAcentral is "HgcC family RNA". Lineage: Archaea; Methanobacteriati; Methanobacteriota; Halobacteria; Halobacteriales; Natrialbaceae. The record is from RNAcentral.
AACGGCUGUGUGGCACAGCCAUCGGUACACCUGUUCGACCGCGAGAGCGGGACGUUUCACACGAGAGAGCAGGUUGUGUCGUAGACCAGCAAAUAUCCCACCUGCGGUACGGGAAGCCGCGCCGUUUACGGCGCGGAGGAUGUCACCUGGAACAGCUUA